UAAAAUCCAUCAAUGGAGGACAUAAAUAGUAUAAGCUCUGGAUUUGAAAAAUGAUUUCAAAAUCGUUUGCAUCCCUUAGAGCUCUCAAUAUGGUGCCUUAUUAAUAAUGAUUGCCCAGUAAUUGUGGUCGAAUAUUGAUUAAUACCAAGGACCCACUGAAGGCCCCAAGUAAACAAUCACAUUUCUGAAGAGAGUGAAGAUAUGGCUACUGUUUGAAAUAGUCUGAAAUUAGAUUUAGAUCUACAAACUUGUAAUUAAGUACCUAUUGUGAGCAAAGCAGUGAAUUCAAUGCCAAAGGUAAAAUAGCUUUUAAAUUCAGAAUUACAUUUUUAAAAUCAUGAGGAAUAUAAGGUGAAUACAAACAUGUUAAAGAAAUUCCAGCAUAU
This 386-nucleotide long non-coding RNA is filed under the name Pan troglodytes (chimpanzee). RNAcentral's name for it is "long non-coding RNA NONPTRT004304". The record is from RNAcentral. Lineage: Eukaryota; Metazoa; Chordata; Mammalia; Primates; Hominidae.